RNAcentral lists this small nuclear RNA (22 nucleotides) under Arabidopsis thaliana (thale cress). RNAcentral's name for it is "snRNA_00889". Lineage: Eukaryota; Viridiplantae; Streptophyta; Magnoliopsida; Brassicales; Brassicaceae. The record is from RNAcentral.
GAUAAGUGGGAGCUUCGGCGCA